This 202-nucleotide ribosomal RNA is filed under the name uncultured bacterium. RNAcentral describes it as "partial 16S ribosomal RNA". It matches the Rfam family "Bacterial small subunit ribosomal RNA", at positions 1301 to 1500 of the family's 1533-position model. The record is from RNAcentral.
UAGUCUGCAACCCGACUACAUGAAGCUGGAAUCGCUAGUAAUCGCGGAUCAGAAUGCCGCGGUGAAUACGUUCCCGGGUCUUGUACACACCGCCCGUCACACCAUGGGAGUCGGAAAUGCCCGAAGUCUGUGACCCAACCUGAGAGGGAGGGAGCAGCCGAAGGCAGGUCUGAUGACUGGGGUGAAGUCGUAACAAGGUAAC